Molecule: long non-coding RNA, 247 nt
Organism: Octopus sinensis (East Asian common octopus)
Lineage: Eukaryota; Metazoa; Mollusca; Cephalopoda; Octopoda; Octopodidae
Exons: 3
Source: RefSeq, a predicted model, not a curated record
ACAAGUACAAGAAAUGAAUAUGUCAGAGAAACUGGAAUUGACAUGAGGGCAGAGCAGGCCUAAAAACCUGCUCUAAUGGGGACAGCUAGGAUUUUGAGACUGGUGAUGGGGUGUUGGGUGGCUUCCACGAUAAGUUACCAUCCAAGUACCAAAGCUUAUAAUUUGUGGAAAGAGACGCUGUCACACCUCUGAUAACACCAGGUUGCUGUCUGCUCUCACAGAAUCAACCAGAAAGAACAAGAGCUCA